This 687-nucleotide long non-coding RNA is filed under the name Salmo salar (Atlantic salmon). RNAcentral's name for it is "lncRNA (ENSSSAG00000091248.1, ENSSSAG00020065877.1)". Lineage: Eukaryota; Metazoa; Chordata; Actinopteri; Salmoniformes; Salmonidae. The record is from RNAcentral.
UAAAAACAGCUACAGUACUAUAGUAUAGUCAAAGCUACUGUGGUUAUUGUUCAAACAACUAUGCUAUUGUAUUGUAAAGAAUCAUAUUAUAUCCAGACAAUGUGUUUUUACUGUAAGGGAAUGUCUGCAUAUUGGAGAAACUGGAGAGCCAGAACCUCAACAAGCUCUCAGAUUAUCCUCGCAAAACCACCAAAAGAUAAUAACUAAGAUUCCUAUCUCUGAUAAUAUGCUGUUAUCAAUUUUAGUGCACCGCCUAUGCUGAAGUCAAUAAAGCAAUUUAACGCUGAGAGGACAGAUGUUGGGCCAUGAAUAUAGCAUGCAAAAACCCCGCUGCACGCUCUGCUACAGACGAUGACGCGAAGCUGCACUUGUCUCGAGCACACGAUGGCUCUCUUUGUUAGCGCACUAGUUGUCAGUGCCUUUUCGGAAAGCAACCAGGCUUCGCCCACAACGCCAUGCAACCUGUUCUAAGAGGGGGCAGAACCCUGAGCCGCGACUGAUUAGAGCCAGAGAAAGUGAGGAUCCUUGGCUGGUUGGGGCCUGAUGGAUGAAACGGCUGGGAAUAGACUCUGAUGAUUCCUCACCAACAUCCAUCCACAAUAGGGAUGCGCACGCACACACACACGCUCACACACAUGUAUGAAUGCAUGCACACACGCGUGCAGUUACACACACACACAUCUACCC